CGCUGCAGAGUUUGAUCCUGGCUCAGAUUGAACGCUGGCGGCAUGCUUUACACAUGCAAGUCGAACGGUAACAGGCCUUCGGGUGCUGACGAGUGGCGAACGGGUGAGUAAUGCAUCGGAACGUACCCGGUCGUGGGGGAUAACGCAGCGAAAGCUGUGCUAAUACCGCAUACGAUCUGAGGAUGAAAGCGGGGGACCUUCGGGCCUCGCGCGAUCGGAGCGGCCGACGUCGGAUUAGCUAGUUGGUGGGGUAAAGGCCUACCAAGGCGACGAUCCGUAGCUGGUCUGAGAGGACGACCAGCCACACUGGGACUGAGACACGGCCCAGGCUCCUACGGGAGGCAGCAGUGGGGAAUUUUGGACAAUGGGCGCAAGCUGUAUCCAGCAAUGCCGCGUGCGGGAAGAAGGCCUUCGGGUUGUAAACCGCUUUUGGCAGGAACGAAACGGUGUCCGCUAAUACCGGGCGCUAAUGACGGUACCUGCAGAAUAAGCACCGGCUAACUACGUGCCAGCAGCCGCGGUAAUACGUAGGGUGCGAGCGUUAAUCGGAAUUACUGGGCGUAAAGCGUGCGCAGGCGGUUGUGUAAGACAGGCGUGAAAUCCCCGGGCUCAACCUGGGGAAUGGCGCUUGUGACUGCACGGCUGGAGUGCGGCAGAGGGGGAUGGAAUUCCGCGUGUAGCAGUGAAAUGCGUAGAUAUGCGGAGGAACACCGAUGGCGAAGGCAAUCCCCUGGGCCUGCACUGACGCUCAUGCACGGAAGCGUGGGGAGCAAACAGGAUUAGAUACCCUGGA
This 793-nucleotide ribosomal RNA is filed under the name uncultured bacterium. Its description in RNAcentral is "bacterial SSU rRNA". It matches the Rfam family "Bacterial small subunit ribosomal RNA", at positions 1 to 791 of the family's 1533-position model. The record is from RNAcentral.